UUUAUGAAAUUGCAGUUCUUUCACAUACUCCUUUGUUCCUGAGCAGCCAGGAGUUUUCAGUUUGUUUCUAAGGUGCUAAAAGAGGAUCGGAGUGGCCUGAGCUCAGGGGUGCCUCACUCAAAGCUCUAACAGGAUGUGUCUUUUAAUAGAAUGAAGGUGUGAUGGUUCUCAGUGCACUGUAGAGCUUGUUCUUCAGGAAGACAAAGGAAGCACAGUGCAGAACUGUUGCUUCUGGGGUUUCUCCCACAUCCAGGGAGACACUGUCAUGGACAUGGAAGCUGAAGCUCUGGACAUGCUGAUGAAGCCAUGAAAGCAGAACCAGCUCUGCUUCAGAGGUUCUUGCUAUGAUGCUCAAAUAUGCAACACUUGUUUUUCAGCACUGAUUAGUUUGACCCUCUGCUCUACAAAUCCUAAUCUACAUCUGUGUCUUAUUCUGGAACAGAGCCCAAAGUCCUGGAGCUGUUGAUCUCAGCACACAAUUGCAAAAGGAGGAAUGUGAUGUGCUUCUAGACAUGCAGCAGAAGAGAGGAAGCUGCAGUCCCCAAGGUUCCCUGCUCACUUAAAGACCAUGUUCACCAGGAUACACCUGCUGAGUUUCCUGCUGUGAACAUCUGACAGGCAGCUGAUACCAAAGGGCAGAACCAAGAGAGCCAAAGAAUGAAAGGGUGCAAAAGAGAGGAGAUGCUGGACAGAGAAUGCUACACCUUGUCAGCAAACUAAUGGAAAUGCCCCACUUGCCCUUCUGACUCAGCUCCUUCCAUGGACAACAGACCUUUAUUUACUGUGGAUGAGGUCCUGGAAGUAUUCUGAAAAGUUUUUAAAGCAUCUGUGGAUGCACACAGAUGCAUCAACAUCACCUUGCUCAUUCAUGUAAUUUGACUUUGUUUUUACUUACUGAAGGCAUUA
Molecule: long non-coding RNA, 906 nt
Organism: Pyrgilauda ruficollis (rufous-necked snowfinch)
Lineage: Eukaryota; Metazoa; Chordata; Aves; Passeriformes; Passeridae
Exons: 3
Source: RefSeq, a predicted model, not a curated record